Daphnia pulex (common water flea) is the source of this 755-nucleotide long non-coding RNA. RefSeq lists it as uncharacterized. Lineage: Eukaryota; Metazoa; Arthropoda; Branchiopoda; Diplostraca; Daphniidae. The transcript is spliced from 3 exons. The record is from RefSeq and is a predicted model, not a curated record.
UUAGAUCUGACUGAAUCUUAAUUAUUUAUGUGUGAAUUUAGUUAUUUGUGUGGUAACCUAGCCUAUUAAUUUCUACUUGAAAAUUUCAGCUGAUCAUGUGGCCUACAUUUUGCCAAGAUGUCGUCUCUUUUUCCUGUACGUACCAGCUGUACGGUUUGUAAGAAACACUAAAGAACAAAUCAGUCUGGUGAAGUCUGAGCUUCGUCGUUGCUGCCCAAUGUACUUAUGGAUUUGAUGCAGCCAGCUGGUAAAGGGUGUUCCUCUUGCUACCUGUACUCUUGUGAGUUUCGUCAAAUGAAGAAACAUGAACAACUGAAGUUUAUCGUGUAUGUUCGCGUAGUCGCUGUCCGCUGUGGUACUUUGUUGCAGCCUAUGCUGGUGAUAGAUCUUUCUGCAUCAAAUUCAAUUGGCCGUGCUGUUGUCGUGUUACCGUUAAUAUGUUAAGAAGGAAAACAAAAAUAUGGGGAUGUUUAUGUCUAGCAAGUAAUAAACAUGUUUUCGGGAUUGGGAAAGGAAAGUGGAAGAUGUUGGAGAGGGGGAUAUUUCAAGUUUGGAUAAAAACAGUUAAUUUUAAGUUUUAACCCUACAAACAUAUCCCUACCAAUUAAUCUCCAAACCUCACAAACUUAUACCUUCCAAUUCUUCACACACAAACACACACCUACCAACCCUAGAUUUAUACCAUAUCCAAAUAAACCAAUGUUAAACCCUAACAAUGUGCUGUCUGUAAUAAAUAAAACUUUUUAUACAAAAAA